GGAGUUUGGACCGUGUCUCAGUUCCAAUGUGGGGGACCUUCCUCUCAGAACCCCUACUGAUCGAUGGCCAGGUGGGCCGUUACCCCGCCUGCUGCCUAAUCAGACGCAUCCCCAUCCGUCACCGCAGAAAAACUUUGCCGGCGCAGCGCAUGCGCGCACGCCGGAACAUCGGGUAUUAAUCUUCCUUUCGGAAGGCUGUCCCCGGGUCACGGGCAGGUUGGAUACGCGUUACUCACCCGUGCGCCGGUCGCCACUCACAGAUAGCAAGCUACCUGCAUGCCUGCCCCUCGACUUGCAUGUCGU
Molecule: ribosomal RNA, 303 nt
Filed under: uncultured Bacteroidales bacterium
Lineage: Bacteria; Pseudomonadati; Bacteroidota; Bacteroidia; Bacteroidales
Description: partial 16S ribosomal RNA
Source: RNAcentral